GUGAGAGAAUACCUCGCACCUGAGGCCACACUGAACCCUCUGGAUCAAGAACCAAGUACAUACUGGGGUUAGAAGUCAUCUGGGUGUGGCCCCUUGUGAAAGAGCCAGGCCAUCGGCAUGCGCCCGACCAGACACAACAAGCUCAUUCCACGCCCCUGACUGCCCAGUACACACACUCAUUGUCCAGCCCAGAAAUCUGCAGGGUGUACCCUACGUGCCAGGCACAUCUGUUCCAAAAUGACUUUAACAAGGACUGUAAGUAAGCCUGCCUGGGGACCAUGCUUCCCUGCCUGGGUUCUGUCUCUAACAGGCCUUUGGAAUCAUGUGACCAGCUUCUGUGACACCACCCAGCAUGAGCCACUCAGGCUACAGACACAGUGAGAAAGCAGCCAUCUACAAGCCAGGAAGACAGUCCUCACCAGAACCAUCCCUGCCAGUCUUUGAUCUGGGACUUCCAGCCUCCAGAACGCUUCUAUUAAACAACCGCCGCAGGCCAGAGAAGUGCAUUUUCCUCCAUGAAGAGUCCUUUGCUGGCUGACCCCACAUCCCUCCAGGUGCCUGCCACUCCUGGAACACAGCUGACACUGUGCCCUGGUUGUCACAGGUUUAUCCCUCUCCUGUCCCCACCCCACAGUGAGUUUCUUCAGGCCUCGAAUUUGUCCUUCUACCAUAAGAGCUCAACAAGGAUGUGGCCCAGGAAGGCAUCAAGGUUUGAGGAAUUACUGCUAACAAAAUGCCUGGUUCAAUUCUAAAUAUGAGUGCUCGAGAAAUACCAAAAAUCAGGCUUCUGAACAGCACCCACUGAGCACUUACUGCAUGCGAGGCCCUGUGGUGGGUGCUCAAAAUGCCUGAUCUCACUUGGUCAGCCGCCAUGGAAAAUAAUCUGGAGGUUCCUUACAAAAUCAAAACUAGGCCUACCCUCUGACCCAGCAGUGCCUCCUCUGGGUAUGUAUAAAAUAAGCAAGCCAUGGGAUGUAACGUACAGC
Molecule: long non-coding RNA, 986 nt
Organism: Hipposideros armiger (great roundleaf bat)
Lineage: Eukaryota; Metazoa; Chordata; Mammalia; Chiroptera; Hipposideridae
Exons: 3
Source: RefSeq, a predicted model, not a curated record